UCAAGUCCUGCACCUCCUG
This 19-nucleotide transfer RNA is filed under the name Antipathes grandis. RNAcentral describes it as "partial tRNA-Trp". The record is from RNAcentral. Lineage: Eukaryota; Metazoa; Cnidaria; Anthozoa; Antipatharia; Antipathidae.